CGUUUUGUAAUCAUGUACUACAGAGAACUCAUAUACACCCACUUACAAAAAAUCCAAUUUAAUUUUUCGCUGCUCAAGUCACAAAACUAUUGACAAUGAAGACAAACCCGGAUCAAAUAAAACCACAAGGUCCACCCAAAUAAUACGCCUCUAAGAGAAGGAAUUGAACAACAUUGUAAAUGAACCAACACCACCAAAAACGAAACAGGACGUAGAAGAUUAAUUGCCCUUCAUACCUAAAAUAUUGGAAAUGUAAAGCGACAGCUAACUGAGCUCGCCAACCGUUGAAAUCCGACGAACAUAGCGUAAGGCUCGGGUGGUUGUUUGAAGAUAUUCCAAGACGCACGCGCAAAGGUCCACCUGCUCCUUGUCGGUUAUGUGGGUGGUGCUCUUGUCCUGGAAUCUCAGCCUUAUUUCAUUGUGACGAUUAUCGAUUCUAGUUAUUCUAGUGUCUUUGGUCUAUGGCUUUACCCUACAUACUGCCAACCAUCCGGAUGACAGACAACAUCCUUGCUAGAUCAAAUAUCUCUCAUCGCCACUUUAUCUCAAAAUCAUAUCCAGGAAGUAACUAUUCAGCUGACUGCAAGCAGAGGAAACUUUAAUGUUGCCUUAAUAUACUGCCCUCCGACACUUAGAUGAACAGUUGCCAUUGCUGGGCAGUUCAUCACACACAAUUGGAGAAGCCACAUGCUACCCCCACCGUGCAACUGCCUCUCCAAGUGCCAUAGAUUUUGGGAUCUCCAAUGGCUUUAGACAGCAACUAAUCAGGGUGAAAGUGCUGACAGAACUGUUAUCUGACCAUCAUCUGCCAUUGAUUGAAG
This is a long non-coding RNA of Drosophila sechellia, 821 nucleotides long. RefSeq lists it as uncharacterized. The transcript has 3 exons. Lineage: Eukaryota; Metazoa; Arthropoda; Insecta; Diptera; Drosophilidae. The record is from RefSeq and is a predicted model, not a curated record.